AUGUGGGAUCAGGUCGGCCUGGACCUGGACGGCUUUCCGCUCGAUCACGAGUUUUCGGAGGACUACGACCUCGAGGAAGAGGAUGAGUUGGACAUCGACGGGGAGCCUUUGUUCAAGGUCGAGCUCGCCAACCAAGCCAUUGGGGCAAAGCCGAAACGCAAAAGCAAGCUGACGAAGGCAUACAUGGCUUCUGAGGACAAGUUCCUCUGUGAGUGUUGGAGGGACAUUGGGCAAGACCCCAAGGUUGGCGCCGAACAAAAAGCAUCAACCUUUUGGACUCGUGUCCAUCGUGAGUUCCACGAACGCAAGAAGUUUCCGCCGUACCACAUGCAAAGCACGCGCGGGUGGGUGUCCAUCUCGAAGCGAUGGAAGGUGAUCCAACAAGAGUGCAACGAGUUUUGUGCCACUUUUGAGAGCAUCAAGGCACACCCCAUGAGCGGCAUUAGCAUGCAAGACAUGCUAUGCAUGCAUGUGCCCCUUUUGUGUCAUUCCAUUUAUGCUUGCAUGUCCAUUUCCAUAUCCAUUUGCCAAUAUGCUUGCAUGCAUUUUAGUUGUAGGCAUUCCAAGCUUUGGAGGCAAUCAAGGUCCAACACGAUGACAAGUCCUUCAACCUCUCCCAUUGUUGGAGGGUCAUCAAAGACGAGGAGAAGUUCAAGGCGCAAUAUAAUGCCCUCAUGUCGUGUGGGGGGAAUAAAGUUGUGGAGGAGGUUAGGGAGGGCGAGAAACCACAGCCGCGGGGGAAGACCAACUCCAAGAAGGAGGACAAGCGGGAUGCGGCGUCGAACACCUUGA
RNAcentral lists this ribosomal RNA (792 nucleotides) under Triticum aestivum (bread wheat). RNAcentral describes it as "partial small subunit ribosomal RNA". Lineage: Eukaryota; Viridiplantae; Streptophyta; Magnoliopsida; Poales; Poaceae. The record is from RNAcentral.